Molecule: ribosomal RNA, 301 nt
Filed under: uncultured bacterium
Lineage: Bacteria
Description: partial 16S ribosomal RNA
Rfam family: Bacterial small subunit ribosomal RNA
Source: RNAcentral
CAGUAGCCGCGGUAAUACGAAGGGUGCAAGCGUUACUCGGAAUUACUGGGCGUAAAGCGUGCGUAGGUGGUUUGGCAAGUUUGGUGUGAAAUCUUCGGGCUCAACUCGAAGUCUGCAUCGAAAACUGCCGGGCUUGAGUAUGGGAGAGGUGAGUGGAAUUUCCGGUGUAGCGGUGAAAUGCGUAGAUAUCGGAAGGAACACCUGUGGCGAAAGCGGCUCACUGGACCAUAACUGACGCUGAUGCACGAAAGCUAGGGGAGCAAACAGGAUUAGAUACCCCCGUAGUCCCUGUCUCUUAUAC